This 506-nucleotide ribosomal RNA is filed under the name uncultured bacterium. Its description in RNAcentral is "partial 16S ribosomal RNA". It matches the Rfam family "Bacterial small subunit ribosomal RNA", at positions 28 to 523 of the family's 1533-position model. The record is from RNAcentral.
GAUGAACGCUAGCUACAGGCUUAACACAUGCAAGUCGAGGGGUAACGAGAGGAAAGCUUGCUUUCCUUGUCGACGACCGGCGCACGGGUGAGUAACGCGUAUCCAACCUGCCCCCAACUAGGGAAUAACCUUGCGAAAGUAAGACUAAUACCCUAUAAUUUCCUCAGAUGUCAUCUGACGAGGAAUAAAGAUUUAUCGGUUGUGGAUGGGGAUGCGUCUGAUUAGCUUGUUGGCGGGGUAACGGCCCACCAAGGCAACGAUCAGUAGGGGUUCUGAGAGGCACGUCCCCCACAUUGGAACUGAGACACGGUCCAAACUCCUACAGGAGGCAGCAGUGAGGAAUAUUGGUCAAUGGGCGGAAGCCUGAACCAGCCAAGUAGCGUGCAGGAUGACGGCCCUAUGGGUUGUAAACUGCUUUUAUACAGGAAUAAAGUUAGCCACGUGUGGUUAUUUGUAGGUACUGUAUGAAUAAGGACCGGCUAAUUCCGUGCCAGCCGCCGCCGUAA